UCUACAUUUUAGUAUGGACAGAGAUACCC
Molecule: non-coding RNA, 29 nt
Filed under: Rattus norvegicus (Norway rat)
Lineage: Eukaryota; Metazoa; Chordata; Mammalia; Rodentia; Muridae
Source: RNAcentral